This 815-nucleotide ribosomal RNA is filed under the name Radfordiella oudemansi. RNAcentral describes it as "eukaryotic LSU rRNA". It matches the Rfam family "Eukaryotic large subunit ribosomal RNA", at positions 116 to 793 of the family's 3401-position model. Lineage: Eukaryota; Metazoa; Arthropoda; Arachnida; Mesostigmata; Macronyssidae. The record is from RNAcentral.
UGCCUUCUUAUGUUUUGUACAAUAAGAGAUGAGGUGUAAAGGUGUUUCGUGUUCAACAGAGGUACAGCUUAAUUAUUAUUGAGUGAGUGCUCAGAGAAGGUGAAAAGCCUGUGUGGUUGUACCAUCAUGUUGAACCGUGACACUGAAGAGUCUAGUUGUUUGAGAGUACAACUUAAAGCUGGUGGUAAAUUUCAUCAAAGGCUAAAUAUAUGAGGGGACUAAUAGCGAACAAGUACCAUGAGGGAAAGUUGAAAAGAACUCUGACGAGAGAGUUCAACAGUACGUGAAACCAUAUUGAGAAAAACAGAUAACUGUGUUGUUACGUGGUGCGCCUAUCAACAGUCGAUUUGGUAUUGUGAUGCCAUGAGUGUAGGUUGUCUAUUCAGCUGAUUGCUCGUGGUUAGCAUAGCCAGAGAUUCUGUGCACUAGUGCGCACUCAUUCAUUGAGAAACUAUGCUGCUGCGACAUCGGCGURCAUCAGUCCGUACCUAGUACACAGUUGAAUGCUGGGUGUUAGCUGGCUGGCGUAGUUUAGCUGUGUGACAGCUGUGGGUCGCGUUUAUCAAAGUUAGCUGCUGUGUCUGCGAAUUGGUUUAUUCCUUUUUGCGGUGAGCAUGUUGAUGUAGAUAAGCGGCCUAACAUCAAUGGUUAACAUUAGUUAUUUGACCCGUCUUGAAACACGGACCAAGGAGUUCAAAUGGCACGCGAGUCAUUGGGUUUUGACACCCGAAGGCGAAGUGAAAUGCAAACGUAUUGUUAUUUGUGGUUGUUCCAUGAUGAAGCGAUAAGCUACUCAUGCUUCUGGCAUUUGUAGA